GAUGAACGCUAGCGGGAGGCCUAAUACAUGCAAGUCGAGCGGUAGAGUGACUUCGGUUGCUUGAGAGCGGCGCACGGGUGAGUAACGCGUACAUGACCUACCUUUAAGACUGGGAUAGCCCUGGGAAACUGGGAUUAAUACCGGAUGUGAUAAUACGUAUAGAGAUGUAUUAUUAAAGUUGAGGCGCUUAGAGAUGGAUGUGCGUCUGAUUAGCUAGUUGGUAGGUAACGGCCUACCAAGGCGACGAUCAGUAGGGGGCGUGAGAGCGUGGCCCCCCANACGGGUACUGAGACACGGACCCGACUCCUACGGGAGGCAGCAGUAAGGAAUAUUGGUCAAUGGACGGAAGUCUGAACCAGCCAUCCCGCGUGCAGGAUGACUGCCCUAUGGGUUGUAAACUGCUUUUAGCAGAGACGAAACGCCUCCAUUUAUGAGGGUCUGACGGUAUCUGCAGAAUAAGCACCGGCUAACUCCGUGCCAGCAGCCG
This 487-nucleotide ribosomal RNA is filed under the name uncultured bacterium. RNAcentral's name for it is "bacterial SSU rRNA". It matches the Rfam family "Bacterial small subunit ribosomal RNA", at positions 28 to 517 of the family's 1533-position model. The record is from RNAcentral.